Molecule: transfer RNA, 75 nt
Filed under: Candidatus Helarchaeota archaeon
Lineage: Archaea; Promethearchaeati; Candidatus Helarchaeota
Also listed under: 1 other name
Description: tRNA-Ile
Rfam family: tRNA
About the family: Transfer RNA (tRNA) molecules are approximately 80 nucleotides in length. Their secondary structure includes four short double-helical elements and three loops (D, anti-codon, and T loops).
Source: RNAcentral
GCUCCCAUAACUCAGCUUGGACAGAGUGCCAGCCUUAUAAGCUGGAAGUCGCGGGUCCGAAGCCCGCUGGGAGCA